This 253-nucleotide ribosomal RNA is filed under the name uncultured bacterium. RNAcentral's name for it is "partial 16S ribosomal RNA". It matches the Rfam family "Bacterial small subunit ribosomal RNA", at positions 524 to 776 of the family's 1533-position model. The record is from RNAcentral.
UACGGGGGGGGCAAGCGUUGUUCGGAAUUACUGGGCGUAAAGGGCUCGUAGGCGGCCAACUAAGUCAGACGUGAAAUCCCUCGGCUUAACCGGGGAACUGCAUCUGAUACUGGAUGGCUUGAGUUCGGGAGAGGGAUGCGGAAUUCCAGGUGUAGCGGUGAAAUGCGUAGAUAUCAAGAGGAACACCUGAGGUGAAGACGGGUUGCUGGGCCAACACUGACGCUGAUGCGCGAAAGCCAGGGGAGCAAACGGG